GAUGAAGAACGCCGAAAUGCGAUAAGUAAUGUGAAUUGCAGAAUUCAGUGAAUCAUCGAAUCUUUGAACGCAUCUUGCGCUCCUUGGUAUUCUGAGGAGCAUGCCUGUUUGAGUGUCAUUAAAUUCUCAACUACACUGACUUUGAAUUGGUGUGGCUUGGAUUUGGGGGGAAAAUUGUUGUGGGCUUUUUGUAUAGUCUGCUCCCCUGAAAUUGAUUAGCGGUACCUUUGUGGAACUGUCUACAGGUGUGAUAAUUAUCUACAUCUUAGACAUCUGCUGGAAUGCUGCUUUCUAAACCUUACUUGUAUUGACAAUCUUGACCUCAAAUCAGGUAGGACUACCCGCUGAACUUAAGCAUAUCAAUAAGCGGAGGA
This 374-nucleotide unclassified non-coding RNA is filed under the name soil metagenome. Its description in RNAcentral is "partial contains 5.8S ribosomal RNA, internal transcribed spacer 2, and large subunit ribosomal RNA". The stretch from base 1 to 118 matches the Rfam family "5.8S ribosomal RNA", at positions 35 to 154 of the family's 154-position model. The record is from RNAcentral.